AGCUUUCUCAAAGAUCAAUGCAAACUUCACUUACCAUUGGGUUUUGUUGAUCCAUCCUUCAAGAAGCUAAUUUAAAUUUCUCCUCGCCAGGUAAUAUGGUAAGUCACUACUCUAUGUCAAUAUUUGCUUUAAGUUCUUUUCCACUUGAUGGAGUUCAUGAGAUGUGUAAAGCAUUUACUUGGCUCUUCAAGAGUGGGUUAUAUAUGUAUGUAAAAACAGAAAGGAAAUGAGUGUAAACUUUUCCAAAAGGCCUUUCUGAAAUGAAUGAUCAUUUUAUUAUUUUCUCAGAUAAAAUUAACUCAGUCACUUGAAAGAAAUACAACACUCAUAUUUAAUGCAAAGUAUUGAGAUGAGAGAAUGAAAUAUAUCUGUAUUUAUAAUUCAUCAUAACAUUUUACAUUCAAUUUUCACUUUGCCAAAAUGCAUCCAUCACUGCAUUUUAGAAAAAUAGAGGGAUUCUUAAUACUUCAUGAAUAAAAGUCUUAAGGGAAAGAAUUCCCUCUGGAAGCAGUUUUAUUUCAAUACAAGUUGUACCUUCAAUACUUUGAUGCAGACAAAAAUCUCAAAGAAAAAGUUUAAACGUUGCAAUGUCCUCUUACUAUUUAUAAGAAAAGUAAUUCCCUAUACUUAGAAACACAGCUCCAAUAGUCACCUCCCACCACUGAGCCCAUCAACUUUAGGCCCUGGCUAUAGGAUGACAGGAGUUGACCAGUGAAAGGAUAACAUUUCUGAGGGUUCAUUUUACUCUCGAGUCACUUUUGCAUGAAAUGAUAGCAUGCCUUUUGGGGAUUGGCCUCAAUGCAUCUCUUUGUAAAUUACUUACUAUAUAUCAGUCUUGAUUCAGUAGACUAUAAAAUAUAGGGGUUUUUUAUUGGCAAGAACUUAGGGAAUUUUUACAAUGGAAAAUAAUGCUCCCCUGCAGGAAAACUUAAAAGAAUUAAGAGUUAUGAGGCUACAAGGAGAAAGUGACCAGGUCUUCCCUUGCAAAGCCUGCCCUAUCUUCUAUCCAGAUCUCCCAUGUACGACCUUCUAAAGCUCCUACCCAAGGAAAGAAGAUUGAAGCUGUAAAAAUAAUUUUAACUCAAACUUCUUUGAUUCAAUUCACAUAAUUAACAAUGGCUCAAGGUUUCUUUUUCCCUUAAAAGCACUUUUUUCCUAAUUGCCUGAUUUUCUAAUAGGAAUUGGAAACUUCCAUUUGAAUCCUCUCAGCCUGAUUUCAUCUAUGUCCUAUGUUGGAGACUAGAAAACUGGAUUGCAUAUUAAACUUACCCUGCUUUUUAUUAAACUUGUCUCAAAGCACAGAGCUCAAGUAAUUUACACCAGAAACGCCAAGGGUGGAGAUGCCCCAGCUGCUGGUGAAGAUGCAUGAACAGAUUCCACCACCAACUGUACAUUUUGGAAAAUAAACUUUAUUAAAUCAAAAAUAAA
RNAcentral lists this long non-coding RNA (1428 nucleotides) under Lynx pardinus (Iberian lynx). The record is from RNAcentral. Lineage: Eukaryota; Metazoa; Chordata; Mammalia; Carnivora; Felidae.